UGAGGAAUAUUGGUCAAUGGGCGAGAGCCUGAACCAGCCAAAUCGCGUGAAGGAAGACUGCCUUAUGGGUUGUAAACUUCUUUUAUACAGGAAUAAAAAAGGGGACGUGUCCCUUAUUGCAUGUACUGUAUGAAUAAGCAUCGGCUAACUCCGUGCCAGCAGCCGCGGUAAUACGGAGGAUGCGAGCGUUAUCCGGAUUUAUUGGGUUUAAAGGGUGCGCAGGCGGGCUUUUAAGUCAGCGGUGAAAUCUCGGGGCUUAACUCCGAAACUGCCGUUGAAACUGGGAGUCUUGAGUAUGGAUGAAGUAGGCGGAAUUCGUUGUGUAGCGGUGACAUGCUUAGAUAUAACGAGGAACUCCGAUUGCGUAGGCAGCUUACUAAGCCAUAACUGACGCUCAAGCACGAAAGCGUGGGGAUCAAAACAGGAUUAGAUACCCUGGUAGUCCACGCCGUAAACGAUGAUUACUAGUUGUAUGCGAUAUACCGUAUGUGACUAAGCGAAAGCGAUAAGUAAUCCACCUGGGGGAGUACGCCGGCAACGGUGAAACUCAAAGGAAUUGACGGGGUCAUAGCGUUUCCU
This 579-nucleotide ribosomal RNA is filed under the name uncultured bacterium. RNAcentral's name for it is "partial 16S ribosomal RNA". It matches the Rfam family "Bacterial small subunit ribosomal RNA", at positions 355 to 937 of the family's 1533-position model. The record is from RNAcentral.